GAGGCAGCAGUGGGGAAUAUUGCACAAUGGGCGCAAGCCUGAUGCAGCCAUGCCGCGUGUGUGAAGAAGGCCUUCGGGUUGUAAAGCACUUUCAGCGGGGAGGAAGGCGAUAAGGUUAAUAACCUUGGCGAUUGACGUUACCCGCAGAAGAAGCACCGGCUAACUCCGUGCCAGCAGCCGCGGUAAUACGGAGGGUGCAAGCGUUAAUCGGAAUUACUGGGCGUAAAGCGCACGCAG
RNAcentral lists this ribosomal RNA (237 nucleotides) under Klebsiella pneumoniae. RNAcentral's name for it is "partial 16S ribosomal RNA". It matches the Rfam family "Bacterial small subunit ribosomal RNA", at positions 345 to 574 of the family's 1533-position model. The record is from RNAcentral. Lineage: Bacteria; Pseudomonadati; Pseudomonadota; Gammaproteobacteria; Enterobacterales; Enterobacteriaceae.